Molecule: long non-coding RNA, 4483 nt
Filed under: Mus musculus (house mouse)
Lineage: Eukaryota; Metazoa; Chordata; Mammalia; Rodentia; Muridae
Description: long non-coding RNA chr16:6897856-6902339
Source: RNAcentral
CAUGCUUGAAUGAUCUCAAAAUGAGGCAAUCGUUUGAGCAGAAACCCAGAGAGGCCUGGGAGGCAGAGCUUGCCUGAGACUGAUCCUGAAUUCAGCAGCCUCAGGCUCUCGGUGCAGACAGGCUCUGAGUGUGUUGUAGCAGAGCGACCCCAGGGUCAACUAUUCCAUUCCUCCUCCUGCACAGGUAGACAGCCAGCAACUCUGCAUGUGCUUAAAAUGAGUUCGACCUGCUGUGUUCCUUUGAAGGAGGAAGGAACAUAGGCAUACCUCGAGCCAUAUUGCUCACUGCCUUUCUUGGUUCAUGGAGUGGUUUUAGAGAAGGUAAUGUCUGGUCCACUGGCCCUACAGUUGUUCUUUUCUUCUGGAGGAGUCCCUUCCUUAUGAUGGGAAGCAGUAUUUUAAAACUCUGGAAUUCUUUUUCCAGUGUGUGCGUGUGUGUGUGUGUGUGUGUGUGUGUGUGUGUGUGUGUGUGUGUGUGUGUGUGCAUGUGUUCAUGUGCCUGAGUGCAGACAGGAAGCUGUGCUAUAGCACACAGUAUACCUUCAGAGGUCAGCUUUUGGCCCUCAGUCUCUGUCUUGUCAGAGAGUCUUUUGUUGAAUGUUGUCAGCGUGCUGACCUGCUGUCUCUGCCUCUUAGUGCUAUUACAUACUUGUGUACUAAUGGUCCUGAGAUUAUGUUAUGAGGAUCUUAACUCAGGCCUUCCCACUUGCAAAGCAAGCACUUUACUCGAGGAUCACAUCUCCAGCCUUGCAAGCUUGAUUGCAGAGAUGUGAGAGAAAAAUCUAGGACGACAACACAUCUCUAAUGCUGUGCACCCAAAUCUCCAGCUUUACUUCAUAUUUAUUUUUGUUUUGUUUGAAAGUGUGUCUAACCAUUUAGCCCAGCAAUCCUCCUGCUUCAGCUUCCCAAGUACUGCAAUUACAGACUUGCAUUACCUUGCCCAGUGCUAGCUUUCUGUGCUUUGCAUAGACUAUGUUUGUGGAUUUCCUGGUAUAUGUUGGCCCUCUGAAUAUUUUCCUGGUAACAAGUUCACAAUGAACUCACUCCCUCCUCAAGAUGUCAAACAGUAACUGGACCUUGGGAUUUUUACCUCCCAACUACUAUACAAAUGUAUGAAAUGAUUCGCUGUUCUGUUUCCAUGUUAGAGUCUUGGGCGAGGAAAACCUCAUCACUUGUAUGAAUUAGCCCAGGACUCCUUCUGCAUGCCUCUACACUCCAUUUUGUGUGCAUACACCUGAUGAUUUGCUGACUGUGUGAAGUCUGGUGUUUUUUGCUGUCAUCUCUGCCAGAGAGUGUAUAGUCCCAGCGGGCCCCUUCUCACCCCUUCCUCUAGUCCCCUGAGGUCAAGUGAGUUGUCAUUCAUCUGAAGGUGUUCCAUGAUUUUCUCAUACCAAGACUCUUUUACAUGGUGUUUCUUUUAUCCCUGUUUUACAUGAUCUCCCCUACCAUCCAGUUUUCACACACACACACACACACACACACACACACACACACACACACUAGACAUUAUAAUUCUUGAGGUAAUCUGUCUGUGAACUUCCAUCAUUGGAUGGAAUUGCUUGGUCUAGCUCUCUUUCUACUGUGUCUCCUUUAGUGCAAGGCUUCUGUGGCUGUUCGUGCAACGUCUUGAUGCAUUCCUAGGAACGAGAAAUAUGAUUUGUUUACGUCUUUGUUGUCCAGUGGUUUAAGUGUAAAAGACAGAAGACACAUUACUGAUCUUGUCCAUUAUGUAACUUUUUCUGGACAAUUGUCACAUCCCAUCCCCUUCAUCCCCUUACCCUGGCCUCCCCUGCCCUUUUUACCUUCCCUUCCUUUCCUCUCUUUCAUUCCCCUUGCAGUCUCCUUCUCGCCUUCCACUCCUCUCCUUUCUCUCUCCCCUUUCCAUCCCAUUUCUCUUCUUUAUCCCACACAAUACCUAUGAACCUUUUCUCUUUGUAUUUUAAAGUCCUACGACUUUAUGAGUCUCUCCUGACUCCUAUAGACCUUAUGGAUCUCUAGGCUUUACUGUAGAAUUGCUGGUUUCUCACCAUGUCAUUUAAGUGACAGCCACAUCACCCUCCGGCAUGACUUUCUCACAGUGUUGGCAACAAUCACAUACGUGAUUGUGCCAGAAGGGAAAUAGGGAACAGCAGUUGUUAGUCACCUCGUAAGAGGAGGUCACACCAGCAGCAUGCACUGCUUACUCCAGGAUAUUUCCUUCUCUGUUCACUUUUUCCUUCUUAAUGACUGCAGUUGACUGCUCUUACCUCUGAGAAGCAUUACUUUAAGUCCAGGUGGUGUUGCAGCCGAAGUCAGUCAGAGAUUGUUUGGGUAUCAGCUGUGAACUUUCUGCCUCUUACUUGAAAAGAAGCAAACAGACCCAGCAGUGUGAGCUGGAGCAUGUGUGAGUUAUUAAUAAUUUACUCGAUCUAUUGAUGCUCAGUAAUUGCCAGAGCUGAGAAAAGUUAGUUAAUGAUGUACCUGCCUGCACCACAUUAUAAUUAUGAUGGUAGUUCCCCUAUUAUUAGGGCUGAGUAGGUGUUCCCAUUAGCAACCUCAAUUGUCAAGCUGAUUGUUUUAGCCAUUGCGAAUCACAUCAGGCCAAAUCUUGGCAGACACUGUCACAGAGUGGAUACACUUCCUUCCCAAAGUAUUGUUAUGCUAGCACAGAAGUGUCCUCCCUUAAAUGACAGAAACUAUAAAGCCUGCUCUGCUUUUAGGAACCCUCUUGUUAUGGCCUGGAUGGCCAUGCAUUGGGGGACAUUGUGCAAGGAAAAAAGCUGAGUUUUGUUGUCAUGGAUACUACAUUGGUUCAAAUCAGAUCUUCUGAGCAAAACAGGUUCAUUGCAUUCAUUUGUGUGAGAGUGUGGGGUGUGUGUGUGUGUGUGUGUGUGUGUGUGUGUGUGUGUGUGUGUGUGUCUGUGUGUGUAAACAGAAAAUAGCUUAGGUGAAUUUCUUCUCAGGUCAGGGAAUGACAUAUUGCAUCCCAACAUGGUAGAAAGUUUUCUUUUCCAAGAAAAGCCAACAAAACUUGUAGGUCACAGAGAAGACCCAUAGUUCCCCCAGAAGACUCCACCUGACAUAUUCUAUGAAAAUGUAUUCCAGGGACUUAGUCAUGCAAGUAAAGGAAGGGAGCAAAGACUGAAGACCCAUCCAGUGAUGACUUCAGUGAUGGGUUUUGAAGGAGAGAUUUGCAGUUUUCUGGGAAUGUGCCCCUCAAUGGUAGUUCUUGCCCAGAUGUUUCCUUCCUCCCUCCCUGGUCCUCAUGGUGCAUAGCCUCUUACAUCUCAUGCUCCUGUCACCAAGCCACCAUGGCUCAUUGUAGGACCUAAGCCCUGCAGCCAGCAUGCUUGGGCAGACUUUGAAGAAGCCCAGGGAUUCAGGCAUCCUAGGGGAUACAGCCUCAUGCUUCUCAAAUCUUUUCAUCUCUUAAUGUAUGAACUGCUUAUUAUCUUGUACAAAACUUAUUUCUUAAAAUCAUACUGUGCUUGAAGAUAGAUAGAUAAAUAAAUAAAUAAAUAAAUAAAUAAAUAAAUAAAUCAGUUUUCUCCUUUGCCAGAGUUCACUAUAAUCGGUGCCACUUAGUGGAUAUAACCAUUUUGUUUUUAUUUUUGUUUUGUUUUGUUUUCUUCUAAUAACUCAACUUUGGGUAAGAAAACAAAAGCGAAACCACUAUCAAAUGCAUACCUGGAGGCACAGGUCAAUUCUCCUGAACUUUCCCAUGUCUAUUGAUUGAGAUAAAUCAAUAAACAUGAUCUGAUUUAGUCUCUACAGCCAAAGUAUGAGUGUAACCUUUUUAUUUUCAUCUUCUCUCUCUGUGGCACCUUCCAGGAAACACUGGAGUUAGCAAGAAAGGACAUCUGUUAGAAAGAGGAAGGUGUGUCUAUUUUUCUUGCUGUGCAUUUUGGCGAAGUCACUGUGUUUGGAAAAGUACAAGGAAUAUGAUUCAAAAAAUUCAAUCAUCUGGCACUGUUGCUCUCAAUUCAAGAUUGAAAAAGAUAGAUGUAAGUUAUUCCAGGUAGGCACUGACACCAGUGCAGACAUCCCUUCCCCAAUAAACCAAGUGGAAAUCAGGAGAGGCAGAGGCAUUAUCUCGACAUCUCCGUGGGUUCACUUUUCAAUUUGUCCAUCAUUGCCAUCAUCAUUGUUGCUUCCAUUAUUAAUAUUUAAACAGCAGAGUUGUGUAAACAUUCUGCCAGGAGGCUUAACAAAGUAGAAUUUAUGCAGACAUUUUUGUAGGUGGAAAAAAGCCACUCAAGAGUAUUUUGCUUUUAGGUGGAUUUUCUUCAGCAUCCAAACGGCAUUCUCUGAACACUACCAUGUGUCAGCUCUUGUGAGAUUAAGAAAUACCCCGGGUGCCAGGUGUGGUGGCACAUGCCUUUAAUCCCAGCACUCCAGAAACAGGGCAGGCAGAUCUCAGAGAGUUUGAGGCCAGCCUGGUCUGCAAAAAGAAUUCCAGGUCAGCCAGAUCUGACCAGACCAGAGAAACCCUGUCUGGAAAACU